GACGAACGCUGGCGGCGUGCUUAACACAUGCAAGUCGAGCGGUAAGGCCCUUUGGGGGUACACGAGCGGCGAACGGGUGAGUAACACGUGGGUGACCUGCCCUCAGCUCUGGGAUAAGCCUGGGAAACUGGGUCUAAUACUGGAUAUGACCUUUCCUCGCAUGGGGUUGGGGUGGAAAGUUUUUCGGCUGGGGAUGGGCCCGCGGCCUAUCAGCUUGUUGGUGGGGUGAUGGCCUACCAAGGCGACGACGGGUAGCCGCCUGAGAGGCGACCGGCCACACUGGGACUGAGACACGGCCCAGACUCCUACGGGAGGCAGCAGUGGGGAAUAUUGCGCAAUGGGCGGAAGCCUGACGCAGCGACGCCGCGUGGGGAUGACG
This 379-nucleotide ribosomal RNA is filed under the name uncultured bacterium. RNAcentral's name for it is "bacterial SSU rRNA". It matches the Rfam family "Bacterial small subunit ribosomal RNA", at positions 28 to 413 of the family's 1533-position model. The record is from RNAcentral.